UACAUGGGGUGCAAACGUUGCUCGGAAUUAUUGGGCGUAAAGCGCACGUAGGCGGUUUGUUAAGUCGGAUGUGAAAUCCCUCGGCUCAACUGAGGAAGUGCAUCCGAAACUGGCAGGCUUGAGUACUAAAGAGGGUCGCGGAAUUCCCGGUGUAGAGGUGAAAUUCGUAGAUAUCGGGAGGAACACCUGUGGCGAAGGCGGUGGCCUGGGACGGUACUGACGCUGAGGCGCGAAAGCGUGGGGAGCAAACAGG
Molecule: ribosomal RNA, 253 nt
Filed under: uncultured bacterium
Lineage: Bacteria
Description: partial 16S ribosomal RNA
Rfam family: Bacterial small subunit ribosomal RNA
Source: RNAcentral